This 443-nucleotide ribosomal RNA is filed under the name uncultured bacterium. Its description in RNAcentral is "partial 16S ribosomal RNA". It matches the Rfam family "Bacterial small subunit ribosomal RNA", at positions 338 to 795 of the family's 1533-position model. The record is from RNAcentral.
CCUACGGGAGGCAGCAAUGGGGAAUAUUGGGCAAUGGGCGCAAGCCUGACCCAGCAACGCCGCGUGAAGGAAGAAGGCUUUCGGGUUGUAAACUUCUUUUGUCAGGGACGAAGCAAGUGACGGUACCUGACGAAUAAGCCACGGAUCACUACGUGCCAGCAGCCGCGGUAAUACGUAGGUGGCAAGCGUUAUCCGGAUUUAUUGGGUGUAAAGGGCGUGUAGGCGGGAAUGCAAGUCAGAUGGGAAAACUAUGGGCUCAACCCAUAGCCUGCAUUUGAAACUGUAUUUCUGGAGUGCUGGAGAGGCAAUCGGAAUUCCGUGUGUAGCGGUGAAAUGCGUAGAUAUACGGAGGAACACCAGUGGCGAAGGCGGAUUGCUGGACAGUAACUGACGCUGAGGCGCGAAAGCGUGGGGAGCAAACAGGAUUAGAUACCCCUGUAGUC